RNAcentral lists this ribosomal RNA (482 nucleotides) under uncultured bacterium. Its description in RNAcentral is "partial 16S ribosomal RNA". It matches the Rfam family "Bacterial small subunit ribosomal RNA", at positions 30 to 507 of the family's 1533-position model. The record is from RNAcentral.
AUUGAACGCUGGCGGCAUGCCUUACACAUGCAAGUCGAACGGUAACAGGUCUUCGGAUGCUGACGAGUGGCGAACGGGUGAGUAAUACAUCGGAACGUGCCCGAUCGUGGGGGAUAACGAGGCGAAAGCUUUGCUAAUACCGCAUACGAUCUACGGAUGAAAGCGGGGGAUCUUCGGACCUCGCGCGGACGGAGCGGCCGAUGGCAGAUUAGGUAGUUGGUGGGAUAAAAGCUUACCAAGCCGACGAUCUGUAGCUGGUCUGAGAGGAUGAUCAGCUACACUGGGACUGAGACACGGCCCAGACUCCUACGGGAGGCAGCAGUGGGGAAUUUUGGACAAUAGGCGAAAGCCUGAUCCAGCCAUGCCGCGUGCAGGAUGAAGGCCUUCGGGUUGUAAACUGCUUUUGUACGGAACGAAAAGCCUCUUUCUAAUAAAGAGGGGUCAUGACGGUACCGUAAGAAUAAGCACCGGCUAACUACGUG